UACAGAGGGUGUGAGCGUUGUUCGGAAUUACUGGGCGUAAAGGGCGCGUAGGCGGCCUGUUAAGUCGAACGUGAAAUCCCCGGGCUCAACCCGGGAACUGCGUCCGAUACUGGCAGGCUUGAAUCCGGGAGAGGGAUGCGGAAUUCCAGGUGUAGCGGUGAAAUGCGUAGAUAUCUGGAGGAACACCGGUGGCGAAGGCGGCAUCCUGGACCGGCAUUGACGCUGAGGCGCGAAAGCCAGGGGAGCAAACGGG
Molecule: ribosomal RNA, 253 nt
Filed under: uncultured bacterium
Lineage: Bacteria
Description: partial 16S ribosomal RNA
Rfam family: Bacterial small subunit ribosomal RNA
Source: RNAcentral